Helianthus annuus (common sunflower) is the source of this 2946-nucleotide RNA transcript. It is a transcript of the gene named BTB/POZ domain-containing protein At3g44820, with no coding region annotated. Lineage: Eukaryota; Viridiplantae; Streptophyta; Magnoliopsida; Asterales; Asteraceae. The transcript has 4 exons. The record is from RefSeq and is a predicted model, not a curated record.
UCACUAUCAAUCAUCCCUUCUCUAUUCAAUCAUAAUCCUAUUUCCUUAAAACCAAAUCACGCCCUCAGCUUCUUAUUCACAAACCCUAAUUCUCUAUACUGCAUCUAUGGCGUCAAAAAAUUUCCUUAUCGCCAUAAAAGGACCCUUCUGGUUAUCAGAUACAUCAAUGGCCUCAAAAAUUCGAUUCCAAAACUCUUUUCAUCAAUGGCGAUGGCGAAUAUGGCUAGAAGAAAAACAACCAGUCUCUUUCAUGUACACUUUCCUAAGGAUUCGUGUCUGGAUCUGAUGAAAACAACGGCGUUGUUAUCGGUGGCGGCCCAGACUGAUACAUGAUUCUUUGUUGAAGAUUGGCGACAUCUCUUUGUUUCUCAUUCGUUUAUGAACAAUAACAGUUCCUGUGGUUCAGAUUGGGCUUUUGUUGAUGUAGCAAAUUUGUUUAUUCAAAACAGGGUUUUUAUCAAGGGUUGAUCACUUUUUUGAUGAAUUGGGAUGUUGACCGAAAGUUAUUCUCACUGACUCUCAAUGAUUGCUUCAGGUAUGACAUUUAUUGAUACGAUGCAAUUAACAAAUUUCAAAUUAUAGUUUUAUAUGUUUAUUUGAGGAAAUUUCAAAUUUGUUAAUAAUCGUAACCAAUAUGGAUAUUUGAAUGUUAAAUAUGUUUAUACAGAUUAUAGUUUUAUAUUUUUCUUUGUUAUAAUGUUACUUUUGAUGUAGAAAGUGGUAACUUGUGUGUGCUUUUUUGGUUGACAUUUCCUCUACAGCUUUUGUUAACUUGUGUGUGCUUUUUUGGUUGAUUUUUGCAAAUCUCUAAAGGGGCUCUCCUGUAGGAACCAUCUUACAAAGUCAAUAAUGAGUAGGAUGGGAAUGAAUAUGAAGCAAUGUUUAUUAGAUCAAGAAGAACUGGUCGUGGUGGAUGGAGAGCAUUUGCAUUAGAACAUAAAUUGGAUGAUGGCGAUGCUUUGGUUUUCAAAUUGAUUGAGCUACAAGAUUCAAGUUGAUUUUACAUUAAAAGAAUUACAAAAUUUAAGGGCAAAGAUGAGGGUUCCGUUCCGUGAUCAUCAGCAAUAUAAUGGUUAGUUUCCUUUUAAUUUUAAAGAGCCCAAUGUUCUUUGAAAUAAAAUCCAACAAUUUGCUGAAAAAUUAACCGGGGCUUUGUAAUAUAAGUUCAUAGAAGGUAUUUGAGCUCAUACAUUACAGAGGUGUUUUGCUUUGAACUAGUCAAGUACAUCAAACGGCUUAAAUAAAUAUUUAGCUCACUGUAUCUAAAUGCAUAAAAACUUUCAAAAACUGGAUCAGCAUUAUUAUAUUCUACUUUUAAAUCAUAUUAAUCUCUUCUUAUAAAACUAAUGGAUAGAGAAAGCAAAUAAAAUGUUGCAAGUUGGCCAAUCUGACUUAAUACGCAAGGUGGGAAUUUAAGUUGUGUUGAAAGGAUUAUAAAUCAUUUUUUGGCUUGUGAAGAGAAAGUUACAGUUCUUUCUACGAGAACGAUUGUUUCGGAAGUAUCGCCGUCGUCUGUACCGUUGAGGAAAGUUUCAAAGCUUGUGGAUAAUUAUACGGCGGAGGUUGCAUCUGAGGUGAAUUUGAAACCUGAAAAGAUGAAAUCGCUUGCGGAAAUUCUUCCUGAUUCUGCAAGAUCUUUGAAUAAUGGGUUGUAUAGAGCUUUGGAUGUGUAUUUUAAGGUUUGUUUCUUAUACUAGAGGUGGGAAAUGGGCGGGUCGGUGGGGUAGGUAACGAGUCAAAACUGGUAAUUUGGAUUUUUGGUGCGGGUCAAAACAGUAUGGUCUGAUUGGGUUGAUCUAGAAUAUUUUCUUUAAGUUUUUAGUAACAAGGUAACCAACUUUGGGCAAAUUUCUUUAUUAGGUAACCAACUGUAUUUAGACCACAGAAAACCACAUUAUUUUUAGAAGAGUAAAGUACACGGAUAUUCCCUAUGGUUUAUCGAAAUUUUGGAUUUGGUCCCUAACUUUCCAAAAGUACACCGAUGGUCCCUGUGGUUUGCACUUUGUAACGCAUUCAGUCCCUAACUCGGACAUGCCAAAAUUUUGGAUUUGACUUUAUUCUGACAUGACACUUGCAAAUCAAUACCUGAAGAUUACUUACAGAGUUCUAUGUGAAGUUGAAAAAUGAAGUAUAGAGUCUUUGUAAGUAGUUUAUAUGGUUUAUGACACAAGAAAAUCCAUCCUAGAUGUUUGGAUAUUGAUGACGUGGACAUCUGUUAUGGAUUUUGUUUAACCUAAAACGCUUAUAAUGUCGGGUAAUUAAGCCCGUUACAUGCUUAUUCUUUUGUGAAACGUUGCAUCUGAUUCUUAGGUGUAUAGACACCUGAUUCUUAAUUUUUUAAUCCUAUAUUUUUUGGGCCAUUAAGAUUUGAUCAGGUGUCUUUGGGUUCUUUUGACCCGUUACAUGUGUAUUUGGGUUCCUAAAUUUGUAUAUGGUUCAUUGUUGAGCUCUGUCUCUUUUGUAUAUGAGCCAAGGUGGGUGGAUGCCCAACACCAAACUUUUACAUGCCAAUGCUUUCGCCAAGUCAGCAGGCACCACAUCCAGGUGGAAGUUGUGUUGAUGUUCCUGGGAAGCAGAAUCAGCAACAACCCAUUCUUCAUACGCAGCAACAGCGGAAUAGCUGGAACCUGAGUCAGCAACAAAGGUAACUGAACUGCUAUUGGAGAUAGUUCUCUCAUCGCAUGAUUGAAAACCAUGCAGUGCUAAAAAGAUUAAUUUCAAAGUCUAGAUACAUUGUUGUGGUUAUCGUUUUUUGUUUUUAUUUUUCUAAAAUGAAGGGUACAAGAAUAGGUUGAAACAACAAUAUGUCGAGUUUCCAAAGGCAGGUUCUAAACAAUUGUUCCAGGUUGUUGACGAAGUUUAGGAGUGGUGUGGUGAUGUUUAACUGCUGUUAAAUUGUUUCUAAUAUGAUAUUUAGAUGUGCCAAGGUCUCUACUAGGUGAUGUA